RNAcentral lists this long non-coding RNA (745 nucleotides) under Coturnix japonica (Japanese quail). Its description in RNAcentral is "lncRNA (ENSCJPG00005008291.1)". Lineage: Eukaryota; Metazoa; Chordata; Aves; Galliformes; Phasianidae. The record is from RNAcentral.
AUCGAGCCCCAGUACAGCCCAGUACAGCCCAGUACAGCCCAGUGCCACCAGUUCUAUCCCAGUACAGCCCAGUACAGCCCAGUGCCACCAGUUCUAUCCCAGUACAGCCCAGUGCCACCAGUUCUAUCCCAGUACAGCCAGUGCCACGCCAGUUCUAUCCCAGUUACAGCCCAGUUUACAGCCCAGUGCCACCAGUUCUAACCCAGUACAAGCCCAGUACAGCCCAGUGCCACCAGUUCUAUCCCAGUACAGUCCAGUGCCACCAGUUCUAUCCCAGUACAGCCCAGUGCCACCAGUUCUAUCCCAGUACAGCCCCAGUGCACCAGUUUCUAUCCCAGUACAGCCCAGUACAGCCCAGUGCCACCAGUUCUAUCCCAGUCUAUCCCAGUACCAGCCAGUACAGCCCAUUGCCACAGUUCUAUCCCAGCUAGCAGCCAGUACAGGCCCAUUGCCACCAGUUCUUCCCCAGACAAGCCAGUUACAGUACAGCCCAGUGCCACCCAGUCAUAUUCCCAGUACAGGCCCAGUGCUCCCAGUUCAUAUUCCAGUAACAGUCCAGUACAGCCCAGUGCUCCCAGUGUGCCACCAGUCUUUAUCCAGUACAGCCCAGUGCCCCGUCCAGUUCCCUCCCAGUCCUUCCCAGUAUGUCCCAGUCCCUCCAGUAUGUCUCAGUCCCUCCCAGUGCUCAGGAGGACCCUCUUGAGGGUCCUUUCUCCAGUGCCCCCAGCCCGGUGCCCCCAUCCAU